CCGAGGGCAAAUAAAUUCAUUCAGGGACUGCUAUCACCUGACGUGUGAAAGUUUCACGAUUUUUUCGUGUUUUUGUUGACUGCCAAUUUUGGUCGUGCCUCGACGCCUUGCUUUGAUUACUCAACCUUCGCGCGUGCCUGAUACCCUCGUGGGUGGUUAGUGUUUGUCGGCAGGUUGCAAAUUUCAAGCAUGGCUCAGAAAUUCCUUUACGCGAUUUUAGCCAUCUGCGCACUCACUGAGGUCCGAGCAGAAACAUUGUACUCCGUCUCGGGCUACGCUUUUCCGCAAGGCGUGUCCACAACCAACCCGAUUGGAAUGGUGAGCGCCUUGCAACAGACUCUCAACAGUCACUACAACAUGCUGCCCGCCUCUGCGCACACCGCCGCCUACGAGCGCGCCAAACAGGUAUUCGAUAUUGCGGCCAGCCGCGCGGCUCAGAUCAACACAGCCCUCCCGCCAAUGCCCCAGCUCAACACAGCCAACCUCCCCACGAUGCCCCAGAUCAACACGGCCAACUUCCCCUCGGUGUCCCAGUUCAGCACAGACAAACUCCCGUCGAUGCCCCAGCUCAACACGGCCAACUUCCCCUCCAUGUCCCAAUUCAGCACGGCCAACAUCCCAUCGGUGUCUCAGCUCAGCACGGCCAAAGUCCCACGCUGUCGCAGCUCAACACAGCCGAUGUCCCCGCAAUGUCUCAGCUCAACACAGUCAAUGUCCCCACGAUGUCUCAACUCAACACGGCCGUCCCGUCGUACCCCGCGGAGACUAAGCUCAACACAGUCAGUGUCCCCACGAUGUCUCAACUCAACACGGCUCUCCCGUCGUACCCCGCGGACACUAAGCUCAACACAGCUCUCCCGUCGUACCCCGCGGACACUAAGCUCAACACAGCCCUUCCGUCGAUCCCUUCGGCAACUCAGCUCAACAUGGGCCUCCCGUCAUUCUCUGCGAAUCAAUUCUACACGGGCAACAUGCCGUCCGUCCCCGAGGUCGUCCGCCCGUCGAAUUACGACGUCGCUCAGUUGACGAACGGCCUUCCACUGGCGCUCAAGCAGCUGCUCAACAUCGUGCAGUACGUAAGGAGCGUCUGUCCCCUCUGCCAGUCCAUCGACAGGGCCGUCGCUGCCGGCGGGAUCCCCAGGGGCUCCUACGCCGUGGACGGCGCCGGUCGCAUCUACCGCGAGCAGGGCCAGAGGAUCGUUCCCUCCAACUACGCCAUCGAUGGAUCCAGGCUCGUCGAUGUCUCCACCGGAGUGACCAUCAUCUCCGUUUAUUGACGUCAUCACUGAGCUGCGGACCGAUUAUUGAAAUUGGUAGACAAAGCUAUAGGCAAAGAAGACAAAAGAGAUAAAGAGGGAUCCUAUUCAGUCGUGCUAAGGAAGAACGCCGUAUGAACCUUUAGGCGUUGCCAAAUUACCUCUGGUAAAUUAAGAAUUUCCGGGAAAGUUUGUGCAUAUUUUUCUUCCAAUUUUGCAGAUAAUUUCGUUCUCAAUUAUAUCUAAAAUAUCUGAAAAUAUCAAUGAAAAAGAUGCACCCGUUUCCUAAGAAACUGGUGCAUAUUUUUCAUUGAUAUUUUACAAGAAUCACGGGAUUUGUGAUAUUUUUCCUAAGAAAUACAUGUUUUAUCAAGGGAAAUUAGGCAACUCUCGAAUGUUGAUACGGCGUUCUUCCUUAGCACGGCAGUAUUGGUGGAAGCGGGUGGUUGCAAUGGACGAAGGCAGUAGGUAAUAGACUAACUAACGGCAACCCACGAAAAACCAGAUAGUUAGUCCAUCAUUUCCUCCCUUAGUCUAUAGGGACCACACAUUUCAACCAAUAGGAUAUCUCCAAACUCCCUACGUCCUUUUUAUCUAUAGCUUUGUCUAUCAAUUUCAAUAAUCAGCCCGCUGCGGACCGAUUGUUGAAUCGUAUUCGAAUGAUCUUGAUCGAUGGAUUCCUAUCUUAGAAGGGAUUUUAUCGAUCAAGAUUAAUUGAUAACGUUUCAUUAAGCCCGCAGGUUGAUUGUUGAACUUGAUAGACAAAACGAUAGACGAGGAAGAGGAAGAGAAUUUGAAGCGACGCUAUUGGUGGAAAAUGGGUGGUUUCAAUGGACAAAGGAGGUAAGUAAUAGCCUAACUAACGGGAAUUCACGAGUAUAGUUGGACUGCAUUUACCAAAAAGGAACGAAGAGCAACCCAAUGUUGCUAAGAUUCUGCUACUUAUAUGUUUUGCAAUUAAAUCACUGAAAUCACGCAAAGAAUUUUUACUAAGUCAAUUUCCGUCUUGAAAUUACAGUUUAUUGGGAGUAAAGAUGAAAGUUGUUCAGAUGAUCAGUUUAUAUUUACAAGGUAAAAAAAGUUGAAUAAUCUUAGCGACACUGGAAUCCCGUUGGUUCUUUUUUGCACAAUGCAAUCCAGUUAGCCCAUCAUUUUCUCACUAACGUUUCAACCAAUAGGAUCGCUUAACUCUUCGCCUAAUUUCACGGGAAAAAAGAGGUAGGAGCUAAGUCUCAACUUGAACAUUUCGAAUAGAUUGUGGUAGUAUCCCAAUUAAUUGUGGUAGUACCCCAGUAAAUUAGAUUACUGACACAAAUGUUGUGGUGCUACCCCAACUUGAGUUGCGGUACUACCUAAAUUAAUUGGAAAUGGCCGUAUCGUGCGACAAAUUGGUGUAGCACUCUAAUUUUAGGGGAUGACACCUAAUAUAUGAUUUUCUGUGUUGUAUUUUUUGUCUAUAGCUUUGUAUAUAUAUUUCAAUAAUCAACCCGCAGGCUCUGAUUUGAGGACAAAACGUUUCGCAAUCCUCGAAACUAAAUCAACGGUAUGGCCGCAGAAAAGCAUAUCUCAAUUGCGGUGUUUCAAAAUUCUCCUAAUUCAAGAGAUCCGUUUCAUACAAGAGACACAGAGUCCACUGAGGAUUAGUUUCACAGGUAAAAGCGCACACAAAUCACGUUGAACAUAUCAAAAAUGAUCGUACAAUCCACCCUUUGACGCAAAAACUGUGUAAUCCGCAUUGUGUUUUUUCAAAUUUAUCAUUUGGGGACAGUUUUUUUUAAUGGCCGGCAAUUAGGUUUGUACAGAGGUAGGCGUAAAAUACCUGAACUAGAAUAAAGAAACAAUCCCGCCAACUGUCACAUCUUUUUUACGUACGAUAUCGAUUGGCUCAAAACAUUUGUUUCAACAACACAAAAAAAAAUCAAAUGAAAAAACAAACGCAUGAGAACGAUUUAAAGCGUUCGAGAAAAACAUUUACGAAUUCAGAUUUGUUCUCGUACAUUCAUGGGUGAACCUACAUUCCGAAGACUGAAAAAAAAACUGUCCGCGAAAUUUAGAGGAGGAUCCAGCAAUUUGGCAACAUCGAAUUUCCUCCAUUUAAACCUAUGCUAAACAAUCGAUUCUUGUCGGAGCAUCUGCCCCUCCUAGAAUCGAUACGUUUCCUUAGGUUUAAAUGGAAAAAAGAUAAUGUUGUCAAUUUUCUGAAUCCAUCAAUGCUGCGGAUGCGAGUUUUUUUAGAAAACGCCGGAAAAACAACGCAAUAGGUUCGUCGAGGAGUGAAUUUGAACAUUGCUAAUGUCUUCGAAGUGAUUUUCGUGUUGUUUCGCCCACGAAAAGUGCACAUUAUCAACUAUUUCUCUUAAAUGCAACAGACUCAUUUUUCUAAAAAGCAUUUCUCGAAAUUUUGCGCAUCGAAUUUUCUGAGAAAUGUCUUUAGCAGGAUAUGAAAAAAUCACAAGAAAUACGGUUUAGUAACACGGAUUAGUCAUCUUCCGAAAGAUUAAAAUGAGACGGAAAAUUUGCAAUGUCGCAAAUCUAAAUGCGUGGCUUCGUAGUUUUAACAUCAAAAUUUAACGAAGUUAAGGAGAAAGCAACUGACUGUGCAAAUAAAAAAAAAGUAAAACCAUUGUACUACUGCCUAGAGUGGUUUAUCUUUCAUUAUUUGGCACAUGAAGGAUCCCCAAAAAUUAUAAGAAAUUUGAUCCACCUACCUCAGGACAGGAGAGGGGGUCUUAAUGACAGACAUAUGGAAAAUAAUAAAAAUUAAACAAGUUUUUAAAAGAAGAAUUUGAUGAAGAAAUUGUUUAAAAUAAUAAAUGUGAGAUAUUAGCACCACUACAUAAAAGUGUAUUUUACAAACAUUUUGACACAAAACAUUGCACAAUUUUACAAUAGAAAGGAGGUUUGAUUGUCUCAGGUUUGCAUUUCAAAAUACUUAAUGUUGAAAAAAAUUUCCGACAAUGAAUGAACAUCACCCCUUAAAACAUUUUUGAAACUAUCGAAAUUUAUCGAGGUCAGCUGGAUCGCCUGGAAUCGAUUUAUUAUGACGAAGUUAAAUAGAGGAAAAACAGAGCUCCUAACCUCCAAAUAUUGACACUGAGCUCGGAAGUAUAGAAAUAAUCGGAAAUUUUGUUUAAAAUAUCAAUGAUCAUUAGCAGUAAAAAAAUUCAACGGCCCUCGUUACAAGUCAUAGUGAGAUAUUUCGAUGUCUGUAUUUUAAAUGUAGGUAUUUUACACAUUUUGGCGUAAUCCGGUGAAAUAAAAAUUUAUCACACUCACGAACCAUUAAUAAAAUUGGCACCGGUAAAAACCUUCAAUUCUGGUUCUCCAAAUAACCAGAUGCCAUGUAAAUCAAGGCCUGGUGAUCGUGUUUUAGAAACAAUAUCACGGAAGGAAGAGAACUUAAUUUUGAAUAUUUUGUCACUGUCGUUUUUGUUAACACUCACUUAGACACUCAAUUUCAUCAACAAUGAUACUUCAGAAUAAAGUCGUUCCUAACGCACAUAAUGGUCAAAAGAAUGUGUCAGAAAUGUCAGGUACAAGCAAAGGCGCACUUAAGGAAAGAAGGUCCUGAUUUAAACCUGCAGUAUCUUGAAAGUAAAAUCGAAUGACCUUUAAAAUAAUUUGAAAAUAUUUUGCGAAAUGUUAAGAAAUAGCUGUCGCGCUAAAUUUGACGGGAAUUUUUUUAAUUUCAAAAUUUUUAAAACUUUUUAAAACAUAAGUGAUAAUAAUAAAAUCGUUAUAAAUUUUGUGAGUAAUUUUUUUUAAUAUAUCAUUACUAAAUUUUUUAAAUAUUGUCAAAAACAGUAUGAAAGGUUUGUAAGAAUAUUUGGACUAUGAUAUUAUCAUGAAUACAGGUGAAAACAAUUUUUUGAACAUUUUAUGAAUAUCAAAAACAUGCUGACAAUCUUGGCAAUAUUUUCGGGGAGCUAUGGAGAGUUCAUGGUCAGAAUCUGAGUUACGAUAUGUGUAGAGGAAGUGUCACUGUUGCACACUGUCAACGUUUAUGCACCGAUCAAUAGCAUUUUGUAGCUUCCUUGGAAAAAAAGGUAUUUUUAGACUUCCUUUCAUCCAAAGCAAACGAAAGUGGCGAGGAGGGAUUUGCGCAGCUAUACUCAGUUCACAAGACCGUUGUAAUUACUUUAUAAUACUUGAUCCCUCAACCAGACAGUAGACCACAGAGGAAAAA
Molecule: long non-coding RNA, 5442 nt
Filed under: Bemisia tabaci
Lineage: Eukaryota; Metazoa; Arthropoda; Insecta; Hemiptera; Aleyrodidae
Description: lncRNA ENSASIAIIG007343
Source: RNAcentral